GUAGGGGGCAAGCGUUGUCCGGAUUUAUUGGGSGUAAAGCGCUCGCAGGUGGUUCAGUGUGUCGUGCGUGAAAGACCCCGGCUCAACUGGGGAGGGUCGUGCGAAACGGGUGAACUAGAGGCCAGUAGGGRGAUGCGGAAUUCCGGGGGUAGUGGUGGAAUGGGYAGAGAUCAGGAGGAACACCAGCGGGGAAGGGGGCAUCCUGGACUGGUCUUGACACGCAGGAGCGAAAGCGUGGGGAGCRAWCMGGAUUAGAUACCCGGGUAGUCCACGCUGUAAACGAUGAGUACUAGGUGUUGGGGGUAUYGACCCCCU
Molecule: ribosomal RNA, 315 nt
Filed under: uncultured bacterium
Lineage: Bacteria
Description: partial 16S ribosomal RNA
Rfam family: Bacterial small subunit ribosomal RNA
Source: RNAcentral